GUAUAUACGUUCUGAAAAAAUAAAAAUAAUAUUCACAAAAAGUCUUUUACUCUUGCUAAAGCUGCUGCUAAAAGACAAACAUAUAUAUUAAUUAUACACAAAUAUUUUCCAGUCAUGUUAUACCUAUAGAUCAAACUUCUCAUUCAAUCGAAUCCGAGCUUACCUAUCAUCACCAAUAUCUCCUGUUUUUAUCAAACAUGAUUCCAAAGUAGACACGAUUUGAAAAUACAAAUAAUUACGUAUCUACUAUAUCAUAAACAUUUACCUAUAGCGACCAAAGCUACCAUCCAAGAAAUAUCCAUGCCUGUCUACGUUCUCACCACUACCUCCUAUAUCCAACACUAACAAUUCCGCAAACCAGCUGACCGAACAAACGCGCACGUAUCGUUAGAUAACCGCAAAAAGAAGGGGCUACGUGAAAGGACUCCUGCUCGGCUGAUCUCCUGGAAGCACCGUUCGUUUAUCCGCUUGCCGUCGUUUCGCCGUACGGAGGCGAACUCGUUGCCAGGCAGCGCUGAACGGGCUCUCGAGUUCUUUCCAGGUUUAUCCAGGUAGAGACCAACGACAAGAGAGUGUCUCAACAUGUCCUAUCUCCCCCUUCCUUCUUUUUUCUUUUCUAGCUUCAUCCUCCAAGUACCAAGUUCGUUAUGGUAUAAUCAAGACAUUCGACGACGACGACAACAACGACGACGACGACGACGACUACGAACGACGACCAUGAUGAUAAUGAUGAUGAUGAUGAUGAUGGUGAUGAUGAUGAUGAUGAUAAUGAUGAUGAUGAUGAUGAUGAUGAUGAUAAUGAGAAAACAAUGACGAUUUCUAGCGUAAAGUCAAAGAAAUUGUUCUUUUGUGUCCUCCAACUUCGAAACCGUUUGCACGAGUUUCGUACGUGAUCGUCCUCGUUCAGAAGAUACGCUUCGUCUUUUACCGUUCAAGGUCAGCGAAUUGACGGAAACCAAGCGAAAAAAGGAGAAAAAGAAGGAAGUAAUGGAAAGAAAAAGAACGUAGAUGUAAGGAACGACGAACGAACGAACGAACGAAAGAGAUCCGAACACUUUGAACGUCGUCGCACGACUGAACAGCCAUUCGCGACUUUCACUUGGAGAUCGAGAAAUGAAACAAAGAAGAAGAGAAGCCUCUCUCCUUCGUGUUCAUCGUGAUAGUCCAGUAAUCGACGCGUAAUCGAAGCAGGUUUUAACCAGACGUCUACCUCUCCUGGCAUAAUCUGACUUUCCAUCGUUAUACAGUUACUCGAGGGUGAAAGGUAUACGUGCAUAUACGCGACGAAAGUGACAUCAUAUUCUCUUCACGAACCAGUUCUCAUUGACUCUUAAUACCGGUUUUCUUCGAUGGAACCUUCGCAAUAUUCUACGCUCCUGAUGGCGUUGUUCAUCGGGUGAGGUCGUAACCUUAGGAGCUCGUACAUUUUACGAAAUUGAAUAGUAUAAUUAAGGAAAUACCAUUAUUCAAAGAGAGUGCAACGAAUUAGUAGAAAAUCGAUGAAACGACACUGGUUUUUCUUUCUUAUCGAAUCGCUUUCUCCAUUAAAAUCUUUCUUUAUUCUUCAUGAAAGACGAAGAAACAACAUUACUGAAGUACACGAAGAUAUCCGAUGAUCUUAGCAAUGAGUACUUUCACAUGAAAUGGAGUGAGUCGUUUGUGGUUGAGAGACUUGAAUCUUAAAACAAAACGUCUAACCUUAGGAAGACGAAGAUGCGGUAUACCAAAG
Vespula pensylvanica (western yellowjacket) is the source of this 1729-nucleotide long non-coding RNA. RefSeq lists it as uncharacterized. The record is from RefSeq and is a predicted model, not a curated record. NCBI's taxonomy places the organism in Eukaryota, Metazoa, Arthropoda, Insecta, Hymenoptera, Vespidae. The transcript has 7 exons.